GUGGGGAAUCUUCCACAAUGGACGAAAGUCUGAUGGAGCAACGCCGCGUGAGUGAAGAAGGGUUUCGGCUCGUAAAGCUCUGUUGUCGGGGACGAAUGUGCAGUAUUUGAAUAAAGUACUGCAAUGACGGUACCUGACGAGGAAGCCACGGCUAACUACGUGCCAGCAGCCGCGGUAAUACGUAGGUGGCAAGCGUUGUCCGGAAUUAUUGGGCGUAAAGGGAGCGCAGGCGGGAAGGUAAGUCGGUCUUAAAAGUGCGGGGCUCAACCCCGUGAUGGGAUCGAAACUAUCUUUCUUGAGUGCAGGAGAGGAAAGUGGAAUUCCUAGUGUAGCGGUGAAAUGCGUAGAUAUUAGGAGGAACACCAGUGGCGAAGGCGACUUUCUGGACUGUAACUGACGCUGAGGCUCGAAAGCCAGGGGAGCGAACGGGAUUAGAAACCCGGGUAGUCC
This 450-nucleotide ribosomal RNA is filed under the name uncultured bacterium. RNAcentral describes it as "partial 16S ribosomal RNA". It matches the Rfam family "Bacterial small subunit ribosomal RNA", at positions 354 to 796 of the family's 1533-position model. The record is from RNAcentral.